This is a long non-coding RNA of Gossypium raimondii (Peruvian cotton), 843 nucleotides long. RefSeq lists it as uncharacterized. The record is from RefSeq and is a predicted model, not a curated record. NCBI's taxonomy places the organism in Eukaryota, Viridiplantae, Streptophyta, Magnoliopsida, Malvales, Malvaceae. The transcript has 2 exons.
AUGGAAACUAAAACGUGCCCCUGUCCAGUCGAAUUAAUAGACUGCCACCCCCACUUCCCAAAGUAUACGUUUUGUUGUCGGUGGCAAUCCUUUAGAGAUUUCUGAUGCUGUUCAGAGAAAAAAAAACACCAUUGAGUAUCUUUUCCGUCUGUGAAAUAAUCACACCGUCUCUUCAAUCUGGUUCCUGUCCCGAUCCCAACGAAUGCAUCGCAUAAGGCGGCACUGCGCGUUCCAGAUCAAGAAAAGCAGAAAUCAGAGUUAGAUUGGGGAAAGUCGAAAGUUAUCGAGUAAUUGAUCUAAUUCGCCAAUUCCGAAUACGAGGUAAGUUCGUAAGUAAAUAAAUAUUUUUAAAAUUUAAAUAUAAAUGUUAUAUACAUUGCUGAAAUUAAUUCGUACAUGGUUAUAUAUUGUCGAUAUUGAAUUGUUUAUGAAUAUAGGAUGCUGAAUUGGAUUUGUAUAUGAUUAUAUAUUGCCGGACUUGAUUCAUGAAUGGUUAUACCUUGUUGAAUUGUUUGGUAUAUGGAUGUAAGUUGUCGAAUUGAUUCGUAUAUGUUGUACCUUGCUGAUAUUAAUUUGUACAUGGUUAUAUAUUGUCGAUAUUGAAUUGUUUAUGAAUAUAGGAUGCCGAAUUGGAUUUGUAUAUGAUUAUAUAUUGCCGAACUUGAUUCGUGAAUGGUUAUACCUUGUCGAAUUGUUUGGUAUAUGGAUAUAAGUUGUCGAAUUGAUUCGUAUAUGUUGUACCUUGCUGAAAUUAAUUUGUACAUGGUUAUAUAUUGUCGAUAUUGAAUUGUUUAUGAAUAUAGGAUGCCGAAUUGGAUUUGUAUAUGAUUAUAUAUUGUCGAA